This 293-nucleotide ribosomal RNA is filed under the name uncultured bacterium. Its description in RNAcentral is "partial 16S ribosomal RNA". It matches the Rfam family "Bacterial small subunit ribosomal RNA", at positions 505 to 796 of the family's 1533-position model. The record is from RNAcentral.
GUGUCAGCAGCCGCGGUAAUACAGAGGGUGCGAGCGUUGUUCGGAAUUACUGGGCGUAAAGCGCGCGCAGGCGGCUCUUUAAGUCUGACGGUGAAAUGCCGGGGCUCAACCCCGUGCCCGCCGCGGAUACUGGAGAGCUGGAGACACGUAGAGGCAAGCGGAAUUCCGGGUGUAGCGGUGGAAUGCGUAGAGAUCCGGAAGAACACCGGAGGCGAAGGCGGCUUGCUGGGCGUAGUCUGACGCUGAGGCGCGAAAGCGUGGGGAGCGAACAGGAUUAGAAACCCUGGUAGUCC